AGUGAACGCUGGCGGUAGGCCUAACACAUGCAAGUCGAACGGCAGCACAGGAGAGCUUGCUCUCUGGGUGGCGAGUGGCGGACGGGUGAGGAAUACAUCGGAAUCUACUCUGUCGUGGGGGAUAACGUAGGGAAACUUACGCUAAUACCGCAUACGACCUACGGGUGAAAGCAGGGGACCUUCGGGCCUUGCGCGAUUGAAUGAGCCGAUGUCGGAUUAGCUAGUUGGCGGGGUAAAGGCCCACCAAGGCGACGAUCCGUAGCUGGUCUGAGAGGAAGAUCAGCCACACUGGAACGGGGACACGGUCCAGCCUCCUACGGGAGGCAGCAGUGGUGAAUAUUGGACAAUGUGCGCAAGCCUGAUCCAGCCAUACCGCGUGGGUGAAGAAGGCCUUCGGGUUGUAAAGCCCUUUUGUUGGGAAAGAAAUCCAGCUGGCUAAUACCCGGUUGGGAUGACGGUACCCAAAGAAUAAGCACCGGCUAACUUCGUGCCAGCCGCCGCAGUAA
RNAcentral lists this ribosomal RNA (506 nucleotides) under uncultured bacterium. RNAcentral's name for it is "partial 16S ribosomal RNA". It matches the Rfam family "Bacterial small subunit ribosomal RNA", at positions 29 to 523 of the family's 1533-position model. The record is from RNAcentral.